AAAAACGUUACUCAUUGCAUCACAUGGAUGCCUCGACUCUGUACUCCGACGAAGGACGUGGCCAGCUGCGAUAAGCCUCGGUAAGCCGCUAGGCAGGCGUUAUAACCGGGGAUUUCCGAAUGGGGAAACCCAACCUUCGUAAUGGAAGGCUACCUCGCGUAAGCGGGGAGGUCACUCUGUGAACUGAAACAUCUCAUGUAACAGAGGAAAAGAAAUCAAUAGAGAUUCCCUUAGUAGUGGCGAGCGAAAAGGGAACAGCCCAAAUUCCACGAUAUUAUUGUGGAUGGUUGUAGGAGCCCAAUAUCUGAUUGCUUCAUUCUAGGCAAACGAUCCUGGAACGGACGGCCAAAGAGGGUGAGAGCCCCGUCGCCGAAAGACUGAAGCACAGUAGGGAUUUCCUGAGUAGGGUCGGACACGUGUAAUCCGGCCUGAAUCUAGGUGGACCACCACCUAAGGCUAAAUAGGUACAGAGAUCAAUAGCGGANNNNNNNNNNAAGGUGAAAAGCACCCCGGAAGGGGGAUGAAAUAGUCUCUGAAAUGUGAUGCAUACAAAGAAUCGGAGCUCGGUACCAUGGUGUCUUUUUUAGUUGCGACUGAUGUGGUCAGAGAAAAUUUUCAGUUUUCAAUUUUAAAUUUUCAUUCAAGGUCCAAUUUUCAAUGAUCAAAUAAUUCGUCUUGUCAUUGAAAAUUGUUAUAUUGGAUUUUGAUUGAAAAUUGAAAAUUCUAAAUUGAAAAUUAUCUGCGAUAGCUAUCAGACCAAUAUUUGUUGAAGACAGCAUGGUGCCGAGUGACGGUGUGCCUUUUGCAUAAUGAGCCAACGAGUUUGUCGUAUGUGGCAGGUUAAGGCCUAAAAGCCGAAGCCGGAGCGAAAGCGAGUCCGAAUAGGGCGUGUGCCUCGCUUUUGGUUUCAAUUAAUUUGUGAUAGUUAUCUUUGUUCUUUGGGUCAAAUUGACAAUUA
Molecule: ribosomal RNA, 958 nt
Filed under: Candidatus Peribacteraceae bacterium
Lineage: Bacteria; Candidatus Peregrinibacteriota; Candidatus Peribacteria; Candidatus Peribacterales
Description: partial 23S ribosomal RNA
Rfam family: Bacterial large subunit ribosomal RNA
Source: RNAcentral